GUUAUAUUGUAAUGAUGAUAUUAUGAUGUGAUUUGACGUAAAUCUGAAUUUUUAUUUGAUAUUAAUUGAUUAUUACUUAUUUAUUGUAUUAUCUGACGCAACCAUCAUUUGUGACAUUGAAGUGGAGACCGCGUCUUGGCAAACGCAGUGUGGGACGUCCUCCGGCCCGUUGGACCGACGAUCUACGUAAGAUUGCCAGUGUAGGCUGGAUGAGGAUUGCGGAAAACCGGGAUGUCUGGCGCGAACUUGGUGAUGCCUGUGUCCAGCAGUGGACUGCCAUAGG
Molecule: unclassified non-coding RNA, 283 nt
Filed under: Melitaea cinxia (Glanville fritillary)
Lineage: Eukaryota; Metazoa; Arthropoda; Insecta; Lepidoptera; Nymphalidae
Description: misc RNA ENSMCXG00005017237.1
Source: RNAcentral